This is a small nucleolar RNA of Terrapene triunguis (Three-toed box turtle), 132 nucleotides long. Ensembl annotates it as small nucleolar RNA SNORA1. The record is from Ensembl. NCBI's taxonomy places the organism in Eukaryota, Metazoa, Chordata, Testudines, Emydidae.
UGCCUCGUUACACACCAAGAAUAGGCACAAUUAACUGUGUCUGAAUUGAGCAACGUGGCUACAGAAGUAACAGGUUGUGCUUCCAUCACUGUAAAAUGAAUUACAGUGGUGACAAUGAGACCUGUAACAAAC